ACAUUGGUAGUUCAGUGGUAGAAUCUCACCUCCCAUGUGAGAGACCAAGGUUUAAUUCCUGACUAACGCA
Molecule: transfer RNA, 70 nt
Filed under: Loxodonta africana (African savanna elephant)
Lineage: Eukaryota; Metazoa; Chordata; Mammalia; Proboscidea; Elephantidae
Rfam family: tRNA
About the family: Transfer RNA (tRNA) molecules are approximately 80 nucleotides in length. Their secondary structure includes four short double-helical elements and three loops (D, anti-codon, and T loops).
Source: Rfam by way of RNAcentral